RNAcentral lists this ribosomal RNA (468 nucleotides) under uncultured bacterium. RNAcentral's name for it is "partial 16S ribosomal RNA". It matches the Rfam family "Bacterial small subunit ribosomal RNA", at positions 28 to 507 of the family's 1533-position model. The record is from RNAcentral.
GACGAACGCUGGCGGCGUGCUUAACACAUGCAAGUCGAACGGAAAGGCCCUGCUUUUGUGGGGUGCUCGAGUGGCGAACGGGUGAGUAACACGUGAGUAACCUGCCCUUGACUUUGGGAUAACUUCAGGAAACUGGGGCUAAUACCGGAUAGGAGCUCCUGCUGCAUGGUGGGGGUUGGAAAGUUUCGGCGGUUGGGGAUGGACUCGCGGCUUAUCAGCUUGUUGGUGGGGUAGUGGCUUACCAAGGCUUUGACGGGUAGCCGGCCUGAGAGGGUGACCGGCCACAUUGGGACUGAGAUACGGACCAGACUCCUACGGGAGGCAGCAGUGGGGAAUAUUGCACAAUGGGCGGAAGCCUGAUGCAGCAACGCCGCGUGCGGGAUGACGGCCUUCGGGUUGUAAACCGCUUUCGCCUGUGGCGAAGCGUGAGUGACGGUAAUGGGUAAAGAAGCACCGGCUAACUACGUG